RNAcentral lists this signal recognition particle RNA (321 nucleotides) under Cervus elaphus hippelaphus. It matches the Rfam family "Metazoan signal recognition particle RNA". From Rfam's summary of the family: The signal recognition particle (SRP) is a universally conserved ribonucleoprotein. It is involved in the co-translational targeting of proteins to membranes. The record is from RNAcentral. Lineage: Eukaryota; Metazoa; Chordata; Mammalia; Artiodactyla; Cervidae.
GCCGGGCGCGGUGGCGCGCGCCUGUAAUCCCAGCUACUCGGGAGGCUGAGGCUGGAGGAUCGCUUGAGCUCAGGAGUUCUGGGCUGCAGUGCGCUAUGCCGAUCGGGUGUCCGCACUAAGUUCGGCAUCAAUGUGGUGACCUCCCGGGAGCGGGGGACCACCAGGUUGCCUAAGGAGGGGUGAACCGGCCCAGGUCGGAAACGGAGCAGGUCAAAAACUCCCGUGCUGAUCAGUAGUGGGAUCGCGCCUGUGAAUAGCCACUGUACUCCAGCCUGGGCAACAUAGCGAGACCCUGUCUCUUAAUAAAAAAAAAGAAAAAAA